UCAUGUGAGAACACAUCCCUUAUGUGAGAACACUUUAUAUGUGAGAAUAGUUUAUAACCAUUGGAUCAAACAAGAUCCAAUGCUCCACAUCUACCCCCGUCAAAAUAAUGACAUUAUUGUAGAUUAUAGAUUGUAUAUAAGAAAAAUUAAAAAAAAAUGUCUAGCUUUUUCUCUCUCUAGGUAUUGAUCUAGGUCUUACCUUUCUCUCUCUUCUUUCCCCAAAAAUUUCUGAACGAACACUGCUUUGAUCGUAAUGCUGAGAUAUCUUUGAAUUUCGACUUGAAUCUACAACUAUAGUUAGAAAUCGCGAAUUCUUCAUCAAAUGGAUUCAACCGAAGCUAUUGUUACUUAUGAACGAAUGAUGCACAUGGGUAUCAUGAAAUGCAUAACUCCACAAGCACAAAAACCUUAUUGACUGAAGAGUCUGAGUAAUGCUGGAAAAACCUCUGUGAAGUUCGCUCUGUUGUUGUUUUAAAUGUAAUUGGGAGGAUUGAAUUGGCUUCUUUGGAUAAAGUUCAGUGGCUCCUGGUAAAUUUAGUUAGCAGAAACUGAAUUCUUCCUUAUCUUUUUCAUAACCUAUUCUUCUUGAUUACUAGUUAUACGGAGUUUUGAUUGAGCUAGAUGUUGUAACAUGUUCUAUUAACAAGCUAGAUGUUGGAAUAUUCCCUAUGAAUUACUACACUAGUACAGAAAAUUGCACAAACUGAGUGCACUCAUUG
Molecule: long non-coding RNA, 719 nt
Organism: Chenopodium quinoa (quinoa)
Lineage: Eukaryota; Viridiplantae; Streptophyta; Magnoliopsida; Caryophyllales; Amaranthaceae
Exons: 3
Source: RefSeq, a predicted model, not a curated record